AUUGUGCUUGCACAGAUGACGACCGGCGCACGGGUGCGUAACGCGUAUAGAACCUACCUUUUACAGAGGAAUAGCCUUUAGAAAUGAAGAUUAAUGCCUCAUAGUAUUGUAGACUGGCAUCAGUUUAUAGUUAAAGAUUUAUCGGUAAAAGAUGGCUAUGCGUCCUAUUAGUUAGUUGGUAAGGUAACGGCUUACCAAGACAGCGAUAGGUAGGGGUCCUGAGAGGGAGAUCCCCCACACUGGUACUGAGACACGGACCAGACUCCUACGGGAGGCAGCAGUGAGGAAUAUUGGACAAUGGAGGAGACUCUGAUCCAGCCAUGCCGCGUGUAGGAAGAAUGCCCUAUGGGUUGUAAACUACUUUUAUACAGGAAGAAACACUGGUAUGUAUACCAGCUUGACGGUACUGUAAGAAUAAGGACCGGCUAACUCCGUGCCAGCAGCCGCGGUAAUACGGAGGGUCCGAGCGUUAUCCGGAAUCAUUGGGUUUAGAGGGUCCGCAGGCGGUCGAUUAAGUCAG
Molecule: ribosomal RNA, 520 nt
Filed under: uncultured Polaribacter sp.
Lineage: Bacteria; Pseudomonadati; Bacteroidota; Flavobacteriia; Flavobacteriales; Flavobacteriaceae
Description: bacterial SSU rRNA
Rfam family: Bacterial small subunit ribosomal RNA
Source: RNAcentral